UACGGAGGGUGCGAGCGUUAAUCGGAAUUACUGGGCGUAAAGCGAGCGUAGGCGGUCUGAUCAGCCGGUUGUGAAAGCCCCGGGCUCAACCUGGGAACGGCAUCCGGAACUGUCAGGCUAGAGUGCAGGAGAGGAAGGUAGAAUUCCCGGUGUAGCGGUGAAAUGCGUAGAGAUCGGGAGGAAUACCAGUGGCGAAGGCGGCCUUCUGGACUGACACUGACGCUGAGGUGCGAAAGCGUGGGUAGCAAACAGGAUUAGAUACCCCGGUAGU
This 271-nucleotide ribosomal RNA is filed under the name uncultured prokaryote. RNAcentral's name for it is "partial 16S ribosomal RNA". It matches the Rfam family "Bacterial small subunit ribosomal RNA", at positions 524 to 794 of the family's 1533-position model. The record is from RNAcentral.